Long non-coding RNA from Centruroides sculpturatus (bark scorpion), 451 nucleotides. RefSeq lists it as uncharacterized. The transcript is spliced from 5 exons. The record is from RefSeq and is a predicted model, not a curated record. Lineage: Eukaryota; Metazoa; Arthropoda; Arachnida; Scorpiones; Buthidae.
UACUGAUGCUAAUGAGGUUAAAAAUUUGUAGUGCUUUGGAAUUAUCUAUACAAUUGUUUGUCAAAGAAUUUUUUAAUAAUUGGUUGGUUUUAGUAUGUUUAUUAUACACGUGUGUGGAAAAGUUUUUUAAACUUGAUUCUUACAAAUGUGUACAAAGUUUACCACCCCUACCCAUGGAAAUAUCAUUGUAAUUACCACCAGCGGUUAUUGGAAAUCGAAUGUACCAAAUGAUGAUUGAAAUAUCGAAAUUUCAUCUCUCUGAGAACGAUAGACAAAUGGUAAAAUUUCUUCUAAUAAAAUAUAAAAGAGAAAUUGGUUUACGAUGGUUCGGAGGCAUUGUCAUUACACGAAGAUUUUCGUUAAAUUUUUUAAGUCUUUUGACUUAUAUUACUUUCACCUUUUUGCAAAUUAAACAAAUUAAAGAAAGACAACUUCUAUAUGUAUAAAAAUC